Molecule: long non-coding RNA, 1116 nt
Organism: Oncorhynchus tshawytscha (Chinook salmon)
Lineage: Eukaryota; Metazoa; Chordata; Actinopteri; Salmoniformes; Salmonidae
Source: Ensembl
CAUGAAGAUGUGGAGUAUGGAGAAACUCCCUAACGAAGAUGGAACCUUCCAGAAAAACGCCCACCAGUGCUCAAGUGGAAAAGCAACUAUCAAUGUGUAGUUCAGUUCACAAUAUACAGGCUCAAAUCGGCAGCACAGCAGGCCCAUUCAGAGUGAUGAAUGAAACCAGCUCCUGUGUUUGGAAAGCAGGGGUGUUUUCUAUGGAUACUGGAGGACUGUAAUGCAACUUGAAAGCGGCUAAUAUUGUGUGGAGAAAGAUGGACUGUGGGACUGCUGUAGCUGCAACUUACAGACCUCAGUUUGGAGGGAAGUGGAGGAUAGCAACAAGCAUGUAUUGAUUGCUAUGGUCAGGAUUCUACUCUUGAGAAGUGUACGUUAGUCUCACACGGAGAUGGUGUCUGAGCAUAAGCGUAAUUAUGCUAAUGUAAUCUGUUCAGAUUUUUUCAAGUUUGUGGAUGAAGCUGGUUUCUGCUCUGGAAGAGUGGAGCUGAAGUCCAAUCAGUCCUGGACGUCAGCGUGUGAAGCUGACUUUGACAGGCAGGAUGCAGAGAGUCUGAUGAUGUGAGGCUGGUGGGAGGAGGCAGUCGCUGCGUUGGUAGAGUGGAGUGGUACCAACAGGGAAAGAGGAAUAUGUAGCCUGUAAAAUAUGGCUGGAAAUUGAAGGAUGUCACUGAUUUUUUUGGUGUAGACAGCUGGACUGUGGCUCCACUGUUUCAAGACUACUUGGAAAACACACUGAAGGGUUUGAAGUGUACUGUAAUGGACCUGUGUUAUGGCUGGGUGCUGCUGGUGGAGAAGACAGGUGCAGGAGAGCAGAGAGUUCUGAACAGCACAUUUUAUUUGGCAGAAGAGAAUAACAGUAGGACGCAACUGCAUCAAAAAACCUCCAACCAAAAUAGGCAAAAGUGUAAAUGCUCCAAAAUAGACACAACUAUAUAAAGUUAACAAAGUAACAAUCUUCGUGUAAAGAAUAAACACGGAACAAACCAGCGUAACACAAAACAAUCCUACACAAAGACAUGAUGGGGAACAGAGGAAUAAAUACAUAUGAUGAUUGGGGAAUGAAAACCAGGUGUGCAGGGAACAAGACAAAACAAAUGGAUACAUGAAAAAUGG